GGGACACGUGGUAUCCUGUCUGAAUAUGGGGGGACCAUCCUCCAAGGCUAAAUACUCCUGACUGACCGAUAGUGAACCAGUACCGUGAGGGAAAGGCGAAAAGAACCCCGGCGAGGGGAGUGAAAAAGAACCUGAAACCGUGUACGUACAAGCAGUGGGAGCCUCUUAAUGGGGUGACUGCGUACCUUUUGUAUAAUGGGUCAGCGACUUAUAUUCUGUAGCAAGGUUAACCGAAUAGGGGAGCCGAAGGGAAACCGAGUCUUAACUGGGCGUUAAGUUGCAGGGUAUAGACCCGAAACCCGGUGAUCUAGCCAUGGGCAGGUUGAAGGUUGGGUAACACUAACUGGAGGACCGAACCGACUAAUGUUGAAAAAUUAGCGGAUGACUUGUGGCUGGGGGUGAAAGGCCAAUCAAACCGGGAGAUAGCUGGUUCUCCCCGAAAGCUAUUUAGGUAGCGCCUCGUGAAUUCAUCUCCGGGGGUAGAGCACUGUUUCGGCAAGGGGGUCAUCCCGACUUACCAACCCGAUGCAAACUGCGAAUACCGGAGAAUGUUAUCACGGGAGACACACGGCGGGUGCUAACGUCCGUCGUGAAGAGGGAAACAACCCAGACCGCCAGCUAAGGUCCCAAAGUCAUGGUUAAGUGGGAAACGAUGUGGGAAGGCCCAGACAGCCAGGAUGUUGGCUUAGAAGCAGCCAUCAUUUAAAGAAAGCGUAAUAGCUCACUGGUCGAGUCGGCCUGCGCGGAAGAUGUAACGGGGCUAAACCAUGCACCGAAGCUGCGGCAGCGACACUAUGUGUUGUUGGGUAGGGGAGCGUUCUGUAAGCCUGUGAAGGUGGCCUGUGAGGGUUGCUGGAGGUAUCAGAAGUGCGAAUGCUGACAUAAGUAACGAUAAAGCGGGUGAAAAGCCCGCUCGCCGGAAGACCAAGGGUUCCUGUCCAACGUUAAUCGGGGCAGGGUGAGUCGACCCCUAAGGCGAGGCCGAAAGGCGUAGUCGAUGGGAAACAGGUUAAUAUUCCUGUACUUGGUGUUACUGCGAAGGGGGGACGGAGAAGGCUAUGUUGGCCGGGCGACGGUUGUCCCGGUUUAAGCGU
Molecule: ribosomal RNA, 1094 nt
Filed under: Escherichia coli
Lineage: Bacteria; Pseudomonadati; Pseudomonadota; Gammaproteobacteria; Enterobacterales; Enterobacteriaceae
Description: partial 23S ribosomal RNA
Rfam family: Bacterial large subunit ribosomal RNA
Source: RNAcentral